Long non-coding RNA from Globicephala melas (long-finned pilot whale), 4963 nucleotides. RefSeq lists it as uncharacterized. Lineage: Eukaryota; Metazoa; Chordata; Mammalia; Artiodactyla; Delphinidae. The record is from RefSeq and is a predicted model, not a curated record.
GAGACAUAUGACCUGGUUUUGGAAAGAGUGAUGAGAUGGCCUCAGGCUGCUGCUCUCAACGCACCGGCCCGAGCGCUCUGGGGCCCGAGGGGAGGGAGGGGCGCUACUGGGGGGUGGAGCCACCUUCCCAAGGCGCUUGGCAGCCAGAGCCCUUGAUGUCGUUAGACUCUUACAGCUCCUCUAAUUUUUUUAAACUUCACCUUCUCCGUUUUUCAUUUCUGGUCCUUUCCCUCCUUAUCUCUUGUACCCCUGGAGGGAAUGUUAAAUAACGAUUGAAUAAGAGGUGAGGGGGAUGGAUUAUGUUUUAACAUCCACAGGGAAAGUGAGAUUGGGAGGCAUGGUUAAGAGACCGAGAUGAGGGCAGGGAAACUACCAGCAUCCCUUGCGCCAAGGGUGGACAGUCUCUCACAGGCUUGUGUGGCCACAAGGACCCUAAAGGGAGUCAUCUGUCACUUGCUGCCCUCCCAGCGGAUGCUGAGCCUGUCUAGAGGCUGAGCCUGAUCUGCCCUCCUCCCAGGAUGGACCCCUCCCAUCACGAUAAGGGAUGCGGGGAGGCAGCAACAAGCUUUACCAAAGAUGACAGAGAAGUUGGGGGUCUGCUCGGUCGGGGUGCCCUGGCACUGGGCAUGACUCCACCUGGGAGUUAGGGGCUCCAGGGCUGGAGCAUCUUGGCAGUCUCUGGUUAGACAUCCAGCAAUUUUCAGAAGCACCUCAGGGCAACUUUACUUCACUCUUUUCUCCCCAUACCCUUGCCCUUAUAAAUGGUGCAACCGUGACAUCUCAGAUUCGGAAAGCACCUUAAAUGACAAAAGGCUCUCCAUUUUGCCUUUCGAAUCUGUGAUUGUUUGUCUUCUGCUUGAACGGUCAUGGCAGGGAGCUUUCUAGAGACAGCUCAUUCCAUUGAAGUAAAGUCAUGUGAUAAGAAUGUUCUCUCUUGCUGUGGUUUUUAAAUCUUACGCCCUAUGUCUUCCACCCAUUAGUCCUAGCUCUGCCCUGUGAAGACUUACAAGAUAAACUCAAACAUUUUUUUUUUUCCUGCGUGCAGCUAUCAGAUCGUACUAAAUUUUCUUUCGUCAGGGCAAAUGCCUGGGAAUACUCCUGCCAUUUCUCCAAGCUGGGCCUCCAGACCCAUCACUAGCCAGGCGUAUCUCAUCUGGGUGUGUGCCAGGUCACUGAGGCCCCUUGUGCUGUGUCCCACCUGGACUGUCCAACACCCUCAGGAAAUGAAGGAUGUCUACUUCUUCAAGGGCCCUCAUCAUGGAUACAGCCUGGAGCUAGCUGGAGGAUGGGGAAACUUCAGCCCACUCGUAACGCCUGUAUCCUACUGUCAGCUCAAAACGCUGACUUUUAAAAAAAUUGUGGUAAAAUACACAUAACACAAAACCGAACAUCUUAGCCGUUUUUAGUGUACAGUUCAGUGGCAUCAAGUACAAUGGUAUUGUUAUGCCACCAUCACCACCAUCCGUCUCCAGUACUUUUGCAUCUUGCAACACUGAAACUCUGAACCCAUUAAACAAUAACUCCCCAUCCCCUCCCCCCUCUCCAGCCCUUCGCAACCACAAUUCUUUCUACCUUCUGUCUCUGUGAAUCUGACUACCCUCGGUACCCCAUGUAAGUAGAAUUAUACAGUGUUUGUCCUUGAGUGAUUGGUUUAUUUCACGUAGUAUAGCAUCUCCAAAGUUCUUUCAGAUGGUAGCAUGUGUCAGAAUUUCAUCCCUUUUUAAGGCUGAAAAAAUUCUGUUGUCAGUAUAUACUACCUUUGGUUUAUCGUUCAUCCGUUGAUGGACACUUGCGUUGCUUCCACCUCUUAGCUAUCGUGAAUAAUGCUGCUAUGAACACGGGUGUACAAAUACCUCUUUGAAUUCCUGUUUUCAGUUCUUUUGGGUAUACAUCCCCAAAUGGAAUUACAAACACUAACUUUAUUUUUGCUGCUGGUUGACCUGAUUUCACCAACCCGGUGUUUGUGAAUUUUACUUUUUGAUCCCAAGGGAAAGACUUUCCUGUGGAACUCCCAUCUCUACGAAUUGUUCCAUCAUCUCAACCUGUUGAGGUAAUUAAACCCAUUUACAUGAACUGUUUGCCAUUUAUGCCUAAUUAUCAUACAGCACAACAGCGAUGAACGCUUACAUCAUGCACUUCAUGUCAGAUUAACUUGCCAGUUCUGUGCCAAGGGCAAGGUUUGUUUCUCACAAAGCUUGGUCACCUGUUUCCAAAUUAUGUUGAUUAACAUAAUUUAAUGUUAAUGUAGGAUGUAGGAAGCAGCCCCAGCCUGGUGACAUACUGUCUCUCCCACUUAUUUCAACCCCCUCCCUUCCCACCUUUGCCUAAUUCUUGGGAAUCUCCGCACUCUUCUCUGAGCUUUCUUCCACAUUCUCAUUUUUUUUUCUUGAGAAAUGCUUGGGAUGGCCUCUGGCACACUGGCGUGGGGUAGCUCCAGCUUGUAUGGUCCCCAGGAGGAGGCCGGAACGGAAGUAGCUUCUCAACAGUGUGGUACGUAGAAACCAUGCGGGGUAAAGGUUUUAACAGAAGGAAAAAAAUCCUACCAUCGCUAAGAUUGCUAACUGUCCAGCAAAGGGGGCUGGGAAGAGGAAGGAGGCAGCCAACUUCUAUCACGGUGAUACCCAUCAACUCCAAGAGCCAGAAAUACAGGAAUUUUGCAUCCCUCAGCCCAGCCCCGCCUCCUGGCUCUACUCAACAGAUCUCACCCUGCAGGGAAGGACCUGUCAGACCACGCGUAUGAUAAUUUUGUUUCUAUCUGUAGUCUGAAGUAACAGGUGAUUUUAUUUUAUUUUGUUUGUUUUGCUUUUUAAAAUUUAAUUCUUAUUUUAUUUCAGAGUAUAGUUGAUUUACAAUGUUGUGUAAGUUUCAGGUGUACAGCAAAGUGAUUCAGUUUUACAUAUACAUAUAGCCAUUCUUUUUCAGAUUCUUUUCCCAUAUAGGUUAUUACAUAAUAUUGAGUAGAGUUUCCUGUGCUAUACAGUAAGUCCUUGUUGUUUAUCUAUUUUGUAUAUAGUAGUGUGUAUCUGUUAACCCUGAACUCUGGAGAAAACCAUAAUUCGAAAAGAUAAAUGCAUCCCAAUGUUCACUGCAGCAUUAUUUACAGUAGCCAGCACAUGGAAGCAACCUAAAUGUCCAUCGACAGAGGAAUGGAUAAAGAAGAUGUGGCACAAGUAUACAAUGGAAUAUUACUCAGCCAUAAAGCAGGUGAUUUUAAAGUAUUUGGUAUCCCUGGUCUGGCUGUUAUAUGGAACUGAGCAGGACCUUCAGCCAGAGAAGUGAAAUAUGGGAAGGAACAGCAGACACAUUGGAAGAAAACAUCUAAUGGUGAGUUUUAAAGUUAGGCAUAGUCCAGAUGCAUGCUGUCCUGGGUUCUCUAUUUUUUUUUACUUAAAAAGCUCCCCCCAAACUUCAUGGCUGAAAACGACACCUACUUUAUUAGAGCUCGUGAUUCAAGCCAAGUUCAGCCAGGAGAUUCUUCUGUUGCAGGGGACAUUGACAGAGGUCCCUGAGUGGCGUUCAGCAGGUGGAUGGCCGGAUCUGGGGGGGUUGAACCUGGCAUGUCCUGGGCCUCAGUGGGGAUGGUGUGUGUGUGGGGGGCUGGUUCCACCGGAACGGUCACCUGGAACUCCUACACGUGGCCUCUCCAGCAUGGCAGUUUACCUUGAUGAACCUCAAGGUAAUCAGAGAUCUUAAGUUAUGGCUGGGGGCUCCAAGAGAGGGGUGUUCCAGUGAGUGAUGUCUGAAGCUGCUGGCCUUCUAUGACCCAACCUUGAAAUCACCUAGUGUCACCUCUGUUGGAUGAAAGAGUCACAACCCCACAGAGUUUCGGGAGCAGGAAACACAAAACCCUACCUUUUGUUGAGAAAAGGGUCAAAGAAUUUGCAACCAUGUGUUAAAGCUGCCAUAUAUGUAUAUGUAUAUUUGAGUGCACGAUGAUAAAACCACACUGGUGUAUGCAGUUGUUAACCACAUGUACCCCACAAAAUGCAGUGUUCAAAGGGUUCAGGGGUUUGAGAAGAGGAAGGAAUCACAUCCCCCCGGGGCAUCGAGGUGCUGCGGACAAGGUACGGCAUUUAAGCAGGCCCUGAAGCACAGGUACACGCGGUACAUCACAGACAGAGAUUGGGGCAGGGACUGUCCGAAACACAUGAGCAGAGACACUGAGGCCGAACAAAAACCGAAAAAACAGUGACACUGACAGAAAAGGCACCACAAGAGGCGGAAGGACAAUGAGAGCGUGCUGCAGGCGGAGGUGACCUCGGGAGCAUGGCGGUCCCCCGACAUGUCACGCUGGCGAAGAUCAAGAAGGAUACGGGUAACAGGGAAGGAAAGAAGUAGAUUACUGAUUAACAGAUGUUGAAGUGAAGUAAAGGAGAUGGAUGACUUCAAUCCUCCGAGUAAAGCAGGAGGACACAUCACGGUGUCAGAGCACAUAAACUCUUUCAAGGCUCUUGAAACCUACCCUCAAAUCGCCUUUGCAAAAAGGGUGCACCAACUAGACUCUGGCCCACAGCAAGGUCGUCCCCUUAAAAAGAAAUGCCACUCGGGAAAGCUCAGUUGCUUCUGGUAGUUGACAUAUUGGGACCUUUCUUCACUCUUCACGUUCUAAAGAAUUAGGGUUCAGAAAUGUGGCUUUUCCGAAACUCUGCCUUCCUCUCCAGGUUCCAGGUGCCUUCCAGCCCUGAGAUUCCGGUCUUUUCACCAUCAUCACUCGCACCAGAUUGCUCAACCCGCUCCGCCCAGUAAGAGAAGAUGGAAAGUAUUCCAGCGCUCUCUUUGUUGUAAUAGUGGCUUUAAGAAGAAAUAGGUGGGAAACGGUGUAGCGGGACUGGGGUCUUGGAGCGGCAGCGAACAGCACAGAAGUGUGUAUACACACACGCACACACACACACACGCACGCACGCAAGCACACACUCCCUCCCACCCCGCCUGCCGGGCGCUCGGGCUGGCUGGGAGGGGGAAC